AACCUCCGCAAUGUGAGAAAUCGCGACGGGGGGAUCCCAAGUGCCAUUCUUAACGGGAUGGCUUUUCAUUAGUGUAAAGAGCUUUUGGAAUAAGAGCUGGGCAAGACCGGUGCCAGCCGCCGCGGUAACACCGGCAGCUCUAGUGGUAACAAUUUUUAUUGGGCCUAAAGCGUCCGUAGCCGGUUUAAUAAGUCUCUGGUGAAAUCCUGUAGCUUAACUGUGGGAUUGCUGGAGAUACUAUUAGACUUGAGACCGGGAGAGGUUAGAGGUACUCCCAGGGUAGAGGUGAAAUUCUGUAAUCCUGGGAGGACCGCCUGUUGCGAAGGCGUCUAACUGGAACGGUUCUGACGGUGAGGGACGAAAGUUAGGGGCGCGAACCGGAUUAGAUACCCGGGUAGUCCUAACUGUAAACGAUGCGGACUUGGUGUUGGGGUGGCUUUGAGCUGCUCCGUGCGACGGAAGACUGUUAGGUCCGCCGUCGGAGGUACGGUCGCAGAACUAAAACUUAAAGGAGUU
Molecule: ribosomal RNA, 516 nt
Filed under: uncultured bacterium
Lineage: Bacteria
Description: bacterial SSU rRNA
Rfam family: Archaeal small subunit ribosomal RNA
Source: RNAcentral